Molecule: ribosomal RNA, 735 nt
Filed under: Streptomyces sp. SC4s6
Lineage: Bacteria; Bacillati; Actinomycetota; Actinomycetes; Kitasatosporales; Streptomycetaceae
Description: bacterial SSU rRNA
Rfam family: Bacterial small subunit ribosomal RNA
Source: RNAcentral
UGGGGGUGGAUUAGUGGCGAACGGGUGAGUAACACGUGGGCAAUCUGCCCUUCACUCUGGGACAAGCCCUGGAAACGGGGUCUAAUACCGGAUACCACUCCUGCCUGCAUGGGCGGGGGUUGAAAGCUCCGGCGGUGAAGGAUGAGCCCGCGGCCUAUCAGCUUGUUGGUGGGGUAAUGGCCCACCAAGGCGACGACGGGUAGCCGGCCUGAGAGGGCGACCGGCCACACUGGGACUGAGACACGGCCCAGACUCCUACGGGAGGCAGCAGUGGGGAAUAUUGCACAAUGGGCGAAAGCCUGAUGCAGCGACGCCGCGUGAGGGAUGACGGCCUUCGGGUUGUAAACCUCUUUCAGCAGGGAAGAAGCGAAAGUGACGGUACCUGCAGAAGAAGCGCCGGCUAACUACGUGCCAGCAGCCGCGGUAAUACGUAGGGCGCAAGCGUUGUCCGGAAUUAUUGGGCGUAAAGAGCUCGUAGGCGGCUUGUCACGUCGGAUGUGAAAGCCCGAGGCUUAACCUCGGGUCUGCAUUCGAUACGGGCUAGCUAGAGUGUGGUAGGGGAGAUCGGAAUUCCUGGUGUAGCGGUGAAAUGCGCAGAUAUCAGGAGGAACACCGGUGGCGAAGGCGGAUCUCUGGGCCAUUACUGACGCUGAGGAGCGAAAGCGUGGGGAGCGAACAGGAUUAGAUACCCUGGUAGUCCACGCCGUAAACGUUGGGAACUAGGUGUUGGCGACA